This 498-nucleotide ribosomal RNA is filed under the name uncultured bacterium. RNAcentral describes it as "partial 16S ribosomal RNA". It matches the Rfam family "Bacterial small subunit ribosomal RNA", at positions 29 to 507 of the family's 1533-position model. The record is from RNAcentral.
AUGAACGCUGGCGGCGUGCCUCAUCCAUGCCAGUCGAGCGAACAGACGAGAGUGCUUGCACUCUCUGACGUUAGCGGCGGACGGGUGAGUAACACGUGGGUAACCUACCUAUAAGACUGGGAUAACUUCGGGAAACCGGAGCUAAUACCGGAUAAUAUUUAGCUUCGCAUGAAGCAAUAGUGAAAGACGGUUCUGCUGUCACUUAUAGAUGGACCCGCGGUGUAUUAGCUAGUUGGUGAGGUAACGGCUCACCAAGGCAACGAUACAUAGCCGACCUGAGAGGGUGAUCGGCCACACUGGGACUGAGACACGGACCAGACUCCUACGGGAGGCAGCAGUAGGGAAUCUUCCGCAAUGGACGAAAGUCUGACGGAGCAAUGCCGCGUGAGUGAAGAAGGUGUUCGGAUCGUAAAACUCUGUUGUAAGGGAAGAACAAGUACGUUAGUAACUGAACGUACCUUGACGGUACCUUACCAGAAAGCCACGGCUAACUACGUG